This 166-nucleotide ribosomal RNA is filed under the name Millettia grandis. RNAcentral's name for it is "5.8S ribosomal RNA". It matches the Rfam family "5.8S ribosomal RNA". Rfam says of the family: 5.8S ribosomal RNA (5.8S rRNA) is a component of the large subunit of the eukaryotic ribosome. The record is from RNAcentral. Lineage: Eukaryota; Viridiplantae; Streptophyta; Magnoliopsida; Fabales; Fabaceae.
AACAAAAUGACUCUCGGCAACGGAUAUCUCGGCUCUUGCAUCGAUGAAGAACGUAGCGAAAUGCGAUACUUGGUGUGAAUUGCAGAAUCCCGUGAACCAUCGAGUCUUUGAACGCAAGUUGCGCCCGAAGCCAUUAGGUCGAGGGCACGCCUGCCUGGGUGUCACG